UGGAAGAAGUCUGGGGGCACAGUGCGAGCAAAGUAAUCAUAUCGGGACUUGUCACUCAGCUUGGCACUCGUGGAGGCAUAGCUGAUCUGUGGGAUCUGAAACAGCCGCAGGAGAUUGGCCACCUGGGCAAGAAAUCUCCCUGAGCCUCAGGUUCUCGGGCUUGAAUCACAAGUUGCUGAGCCGUUGAAAUUAACCUGUGUGGAGCCUUUGGUUCUAGCAUGUGGAGACUGACAGAAGCAUGUGGAAGGUCAGGGGUCUAAACCCUGACAAUGGCAAUGACCGAAGGAAACCGAGGCUGUCACCAAGGUCCCCAGAUAGUCCCCAGCCCUGAUUCCAGUUCUGCUCUGAUCUCUCUGCACCUGCACUGGACACAGACAGGAGAGGACAUCGGUGAGGAGACCCGGUCAGGAAGGGGGAAGAUCCCAGUUAGGCCAAAGCAGCCAAGUGAGGCCAGCGCGCAGUCCAGAGUGCAGUGGGCAAGUCGGCUGGAUCCGCAGCUGAAGCCUAGCAGGGGCACCCUCUGCUGACCCCUUGUGGAAGAAUGAGUGGUGGUGGUGGGCUCCCCAGCCUUCCCCUCCCUCAAAUUCUGCAUCACCUGAAGAUCUUAGACUGCCCUCCCCACUCACUCUCACCCAACCUCUCUUCCCCCUGGCUCCUCCCCCCCCCUCCUCCCCGCACCUUGUUUCUUUGGCCGCUCCAGGCUUCUGUCUACACUGUCAAAUCCAAAUAGAAAGGAUCUGGCCGACUAGCUGGAGCGCCCUGAUUUCAUACUUCCUUUUGGUUACCACAUUGAUUUAUGACCUGCUUCCCCCUGAACCUGUUUUAAAUACUGAUUAAUACUGAUAGCAGCUUAUAUUGAC
Non-coding RNA from Peromyscus maniculatus bairdii (prairie deer mouse), 860 nucleotides. The record is from RefSeq and is a predicted model, not a curated record. Lineage: Eukaryota; Metazoa; Chordata; Mammalia; Rodentia; Cricetidae.